AAGCUGAAAUGAAAAAGUUAGUUGAGCACAUGGGCCAAAUUGACCAGCCUUGGAAGUGUCCACAUGGAAGACCAACAAUGAGACAUUUAAUUAACCUGAAUAUG
Mytilus californianus (California mussel) is the source of this 104-nucleotide long non-coding RNA. RefSeq lists it as uncharacterized. NCBI's taxonomy places the organism in Eukaryota, Metazoa, Mollusca, Bivalvia, Mytilida, Mytilidae. The transcript has 3 exons. The record is from RefSeq and is a predicted model, not a curated record.